AAUGGCCAUGGCCCAGAUUGGCUAUGUGGCCUGAGCAGGUGGCCCUGGGCCAGCUCUGGCACAGCACACUCUGUCCCUCUUUGCCUAGUCCAAAGAAUAGCUCAAUCUGCUCCCAGGCAGGGGGUGAGAGUGGGUGCAGAGCCUAUGCUCAACAAACCAAGACAAGUGGGGGUGGAUUCUGCAGUGGCCAGUUAGGCUGGGCACACGGUGGACCCUAUCAGGCAGGCCCAGUUCCCAUGGGUAGAAACAAGAAACGGGGAGCUCAGCCCAAUGGCAUCCCGGCACGGACUUCACAUUCCCCGGUGGCCCUCAAGACCGUCCAGGACCCUGGCAUAUGAACACUGGGUCGGCUGAGCCAGGACCUCCUCAGAGACUGGGAAGGCUAGAAGGCUGUCAGAGUUGACUGACUAUGGAAGGCUCGGCUCUCAUCGCAUCCCAACUAGACCCACAAUGUCCCUGCUCACUCAGCCCCAACACAAUAAAUGCCUGUGACAGAG
RNAcentral lists this long non-coding RNA (497 nucleotides) under Mus spicilegus (steppe mouse). RNAcentral's name for it is "lncRNA (ENSMSIG00000022771.1)". Lineage: Eukaryota; Metazoa; Chordata; Mammalia; Rodentia; Muridae. The record is from RNAcentral.